AUCCCACGAGCGUCCUGGCUGCCCUGGAUCCCUGCCAUUAUGGUGAAAUACUGCAGAUCGGGGCAUUGUACGGUGUUUUGCAAGGUCGUUAAGGCACCACCUGCUGGCCAGCUGCCGAGCACACAGACACCAAAGACAAUGGAAGAAGCCUUAUGCCACCUAGCCAGAGACUGAAGUCGUGGACCAAGAAGAGGGAGGAGAUUAUGCUUUGCUCUGUGUCCCCGGGAGUAUGCCCUGUUCUGUGCUCUGCUCUGGCCUUGGCUGUGCAGAACCACCUUCUGGCCAGCUGCCCAGCACGCACCUUACAGAACCUAGCCAGAGACUGAAGUUGUGGAUUGAGAAGAGGGAG
Long non-coding RNA from Dermacentor silvarum, 349 nucleotides. RefSeq lists it as uncharacterized. NCBI's taxonomy places the organism in Eukaryota, Metazoa, Arthropoda, Arachnida, Ixodida, Ixodidae. The record is from RefSeq and is a predicted model, not a curated record. The transcript has 3 exons.